GUGCUCAGUUUGGCAGCACAUAUACAAAAAUUAGAAUGAAACAGAGAAGAUGGGCAUGGCCCCCUGUGCAAGGGUGACAUGCGAAUUCGUGAAGUGUUCCAUAUAAAA
RNAcentral lists this small nuclear RNA (108 nucleotides) under Saimiri boliviensis boliviensis (Bolivian squirrel monkey). The record is from RNAcentral. Lineage: Eukaryota; Metazoa; Chordata; Mammalia; Primates; Cebidae.